GUCUAGACCCCACACACGCCACUCGGUAAGGAAUUGGGCCUAUAGCUCAGCUGGCUAGAGCACACGACUGAUAAUCGUGAGGUCAGUGGUUCGAGUCCACUUGGGCCCACCAAAUGGGGCUGUAGCUCAGUUGGGAGAGCACCUGCUUUGCAAGCAGGGGGUCACCGGUUCGAGACCGGUCAGCUCCACCACAGGGAAGAGGCCCGCAAAGAGCGGGUCGGACGCUGGGGUGGAGGAAGUCAGCCGGUAGGGUGUUAAAGGAUCAAAGGGUAGAGAGUCAUUACAGUGGUUAGUGGUAGAUUGGUAAAGUAGAUAGUGGCAUCGUAAAAAAGAGUCCGUAGUAGUGAGUUUCUGGAAAGAAGCUGAGUACUACCGAUUCGGAGUCAUGAAGCGGUAUUGUUCUUUGACAGUUGAGGAAGGGAAGGCCAUGUUUGUCAUCUUGCCGAUGGCAGGCCUCCAGGUGGAUGCUUGGGGAUAUAUGGUCAAGUGAAUAAGGGCAUACGGUGGAUGCCUUGGCAGAGACAGGCGAUGAAGGACGUGGAUACCUGCGAAAAGCCUCGGGGAGCUGGUAAGCAAG
Molecule: unclassified non-coding RNA, 577 nt
Filed under: Acidithiobacillus ferrooxidans
Lineage: Bacteria; Pseudomonadati; Pseudomonadota; Acidithiobacillia; Acidithiobacillales; Acidithiobacillaceae
Description: partial 16S-23S ribosomal RNA intergenic spacer
Rfam family: tRNA (bases 36-109)
Source: RNAcentral